Astatotilapia calliptera (eastern happy) is the source of this 441-nucleotide long non-coding RNA. NCBI's taxonomy places the organism in Eukaryota, Metazoa, Chordata, Actinopteri, Cichliformes, Cichlidae. The record is from Ensembl.
GCAGAACUGAGAUGGGUAAAAGAGGAACUCGAGAAACUCCUUCAAGAGAAGAAAACUCACCUUAUGUUGUUAGAGGAAGAAAAGCAGCGAUCACGCAUACAGACAGAACAACUGGUGAACCAGCAGAUAAUGAUUGAUCGCCUUCGUGGCGAACUCAUGACCUUUCGGGGGACAGCCUCAGGGGCAACAGUGGAAGUGGGGGGGUCUGAGUACUCAGGCAAGAGACCCCCCAGUGUCCCUCUGAUCACACACAGCUGCAUGUGGAGGCCUCCCAGGAAGUGUGCCUAUAGACUGGAGAGGGUAAUGGCAGCUUUUAAAAUCCAUGGCCAACUCGUGCUGGCUGAAAUCGAGGAAAAAGAUGACGUGUACUGCCCGCUCUUAAGUGGGUCUGGGUGAGUGAAGCUUUUUGUUAGUGUAAAGCUUUUUAAUGACAUAUUUAAU